GUCUAGGCUGCCCCGGUUGGCUGUGGCUGAGGAGGCUGACGGCCAGGAAGCCUGGAUCACGGCGGCCCACUCCGACACCGUGUCCCCCCGUGCACUGGCUCUGGGUGCCGCCUCGAGCCAGGAGACUUCCCCGGGCCAAACCCCCCCAGAAGUGGCUGACCCUGACCACCAUCGUGGGGUUAGGCUGCCCCGGUUGGCUGCCCCAGCCGCUGGCGCCAACGACAGGAUCGUCCUCCGCCCCCCUACUGAGGCCAAGCCACCGGGCCAUAACCCCAGCUACCCUCGUGGGGCUAGGCUGCCCUGGUUGGCUGCCCCAGCUGGUGGCAGCAACGAGAGGAUCGUCCUCCUCCCCCCUACUGAAGCCAAGACACCGGGCCAUAACCCCCGCUACCCUCAUGGGGUUAGGCUGCCCCGGUUGGCUGAGGCUGACGGCCAGGAAGCCUGGAUCACGGCGGCCCGCUCCGACACCUUGUCCCCCCGUGCACUGGCUCUGGGUGCCGCCUCGAGCCAGGACACUUCCCCGGGCCAAACCCCCCCAGGUGAAGAAGUCGUAUGCUUAAGUGUAUUGCAAAUAUAGUUUAAAUAUACAAAAAGUUAUUACAAGUAUAUUUGUCGUAUUAAAAUAUGCUUAAGGUGUACUUUUAAACAGUGUCCUUCACAGUGGAUCCAACAGGUCCUCUGCUGGCCGCCCCACUGAGCCGCCGUCGGGCGCUCGGAGGCGCCGAGGCGGACCUCCCUGGGACGGAGCACUCCCAGUCCGGUCACGGCCAGAGGUCCCAGGCCCCAGGCAGCCCGCCGGCCUCUGAUGUUCCUGAAGGCGUGGUGGGCAGAGGUAAGUACUCGUUCAGCCCGUUUCCCCCUGUGCAGGAGCCUCUGAGGAACGUCAGGAUCCAGCAGGAGAAGCUCCGGGGCCAGCCCCCCCACCAGGCAGGGGAAGAGGCCGGGCCCUCUGGGAAGCAGCAAAAAAACGGGGGCCGCUGUUUCCCCAACCAGAGCCUGACCGCUGAGCCCAAGCUGGAGGAGAAGCUGUUGGAUAGCAGAGGUAAGAAUGGCUUCUCUUACACAAAUAAAUCAAUUCAAUGUAACUCUUCUUUUUUUAUAGUAUUGAGCCUGCAUACCGCAAAACUUUAAUUAUCAGCCCGUGCUUUUAUUUGUUUCAAUCCCUGAACUCAAUCCCUGAAGAGUUACAAACGACCUCCUGAGGUCAUCCGACGCUGGCUCCCCCUCCCUCCUCAUCCUUCUGCAUCCUUCUGGAUCUCUCUGCUGCUUUUGACACAGUCGACCAUGACAUUCUUCUAAACCGCCUCCACCUCACCACUGGACUCACUGGCACUCCCCUCAGUUGGUUUCAGUCAUACCUCAAAAACCGGAUAGAAUGCAUCUCCCUGGGUCCCUCCAAAUCGAACCCACACACAGUCACUUGCGGUGUCCCCCAGGGUUCAGUCCUUGGCCCCAUCCUCUUUAUCCUCUACCUCAUCCCCCUUGGUCAGGUCAUCAGCCGCCACGGUUUCUCAUUCCACUGCUAUGCCGACGACACACAGCUCUAUGUCAAUGCCACAGCUGCCACCCCACCUUUAACAUCACCGUCAUCCCCAUCAAAACUCACCACGUGCC
RNAcentral lists this long non-coding RNA (1614 nucleotides) under Gadus morhua (Atlantic cod). Its description in RNAcentral is "lncRNA (ENSGMOG00000029098.1)". Lineage: Eukaryota; Metazoa; Chordata; Actinopteri; Gadiformes; Gadidae. The record is from RNAcentral.